GGGUUCGUUUAGGGAGCCAUCUGUCCUGUUUGGUGUAAGAUUAAGAACUCCUCCAUCUGAUGUCUCCAGUCUUGAUUAGAUUCUGGAUUAUAUCUGAAAGAGAACACAAAGUUCAGGACAAAGAUUAUGGUUUUUUUUUUCAGUUAGGGUGUUGUUUAAAACUAAUCAUCACUCUAAUAUUUGUUGCACAGUUGCUUCACAAAAUAUCGGCUCAUAGCAGUCUUUUCACUGCAGAUCAUAGAGAAUGAACAUGUGCAUUAUGUAACUACAUCUUAAGGAUGAACAACAUUUGUAAAGCAGGCCUACAUCUAAUGCAACUUUAUCUUCUGUUACAAAGCGGCUGAAGAGGAUUAUGCUGCUGUUGCCACAGAAACUUAGUGACCAGUGGAAAGAGAGAGUAGAGAGGGGUGGGGAGUCCACGAAGAGAGUAGAAGCAGGCUGAUUCAAUCAGACGUACAGACAACCUGUCGCACACCCACAAAGCAGACAGGGUUUUUUUUUUUUUAAUUUGAGGUGACACAGAUUUUGAAAAGAGUCCACUCAGUCUGCCACCAUGCUGCACCCUUUAAUCAUCGGCAUUGUGACCGUAAACACUUCUCUCACCGUUGUCUAUUGGACCUUCCUCCUGGGAGAUGCCUACUUCAGGUGGCUGCUGGAGCCAGAAGACAAACCCAAGAAGGUGGUCACCCCAGCCUGAGGGAGUCACAGUCAGUAUGGACAUACUUGGCUGAGUGACUGGGUGUUAUUUUUGCGUAGGACUAGUUCAGCUUGUAGUGCUUUCUGUGGAGUCUGAUUUUGCAGUCAAUUUGCUUCUUGUUUCACCCGAAGAAGAUCUGGAAUCCCACUGUGAACUUUAUAAUUAACUGAACUGAAUGAAUCCCGCAAGUGAAUGAGAAAGGAAUCCUUCUCACAGAGCUGUCUGUGUACAACACACGCUAAUUUGGAAGUCCUUUCAUGCACAAGUCAAAGAAAAAAGCUGAGGAGCCGCUUUGAAGUCUUGAUUACAAGACUGGAUUCUUGGCCCCAAACCAGUGGAGGAUGAUUCAGAGGAAGCAAAAGCAGAACUAGAAGCAGAGCGCCGACAGAGUAUUCCCAGUGAGCUGAUGGGGAAAGACAUGCUGAGGAUGGAGAAGGACAGGCCACUGCCCGGUUUCUACCAGGGUGAAGGAGGCUGCCGCCGUCCAUCCACCCCUCCUCCACUGAGAAGUGCCAUCACUUCGUCAUACACUGGAGAAAAAAGGAUAUCCGCUCACAGUGUCACCUUCGCCUGCCCUGCGACCCCUUAUGUCACCUCCCUCUGAGUUUUUGUCACAAAAGUCAUUUAGAUACAUUUUUGUCUCAUCUCUCAUUUCAGUGCAGUAAUCAAUGUUGUCUCUUUGCUGUAGUAAUGCUUAAGCUAAAGAUAUCUUUGUUUUCUAUAAAAACAAAUGUUGUACUCAUUUUACAAGAAAAUGCUUCCUGUCGUCACUUAUUAAAAAAGUUAGUGUAAAAAAGUUCCACAUUGUCAAUAAUUUCAUUUUAUUGCACUAUAUUAUUAUUCGUGGUCCAAUUGCUCAUACUACAAAAUGUAAAUUAUGCACUAUGUAAACUUCAGUGAUGUUAAUAUGACCUGCAAAAAGGACAUUUUAUUUUGAUAACUGACAUCAAAGCUAAAAAAAAUAGUUUGACUUGAAAAUACCUCUCAAUGAAAAUGUCAAAUUCCCCCCUAAGUGUUGUUAAAUUGCACAUAAAUUUCCAUUUCGGUGCAUCUUCCACUGUCAUGACUAUCAUUUUCAAAUUACUUCACACUUGUUGCUGUAAUGUUUUUCUGAAGAAAACACACAUCAGUUUUCCUGUUCUGGUGUUGGGACUAAGCUUCUCUCCAGUAAACAGCUGAAUU
Long non-coding RNA from Seriola aureovittata, 1879 nucleotides. RefSeq lists it as uncharacterized. NCBI's taxonomy places the organism in Eukaryota, Metazoa, Chordata, Actinopteri, Carangiformes, Carangidae. The transcript is spliced from 3 exons. The record is from RefSeq and is a predicted model, not a curated record.